AUUAAGAUAAGUAACCCGAAUCUUUUAGGCAGUAUCCUAUCAUUUAAAGGGUUUGCCUCUGGCCCUGCUACUCCUUAUGGCUGAGGACUCUCUGGAGUUUAAGAGAUACGCCCACCCUGGCUGGUUCUCUUGGUCUCUAAUUUUGGUGUGGAACUCAGACCAACCAAGAACUCUAAACCUUAAUGUAGCCUUCCGGGUUGUUAUGAAAGUAUAAUUUUCAAGGUGACAAUGAUUUAAACAGUCUCAAACAGCUCAUCCCUCAGUUGAGAAAGCUGAGCGCUCCCUUUACACCACACUCUGAAUUAAGUAAGCCACCACAGUCCUUCGGUUCUAACGCAGCACUUCCACGGCUCCUGGAAAGACUAAUGAAGCCCAAGCAUAUUCAUGACAGUUCAAAAGAAGUCCCAUGAGCCCACUUACACUCCUUAUGCAGCACGCGUUUUUCAAAGGUUGACUUAUUUUUAGUGCAUGGCACUGGCUCUCUUUCAAAGGCUCUGUAUUA
This 502-nucleotide long non-coding RNA is filed under the name Equus asinus (donkey). Its description in RNAcentral is "lncRNA (ENSEASG00005026891.1)". Lineage: Eukaryota; Metazoa; Chordata; Mammalia; Perissodactyla; Equidae. The record is from RNAcentral.